GGAGGAAAAGAAACCAACAGGGAUUGCCUCAGUAGCGGCGAGUGAAGCGGCAAAAGCUCAAAUUUGAAAUCUGGCGUCUUUGGCGUCCGAGUUGUAAUUUGAAGAAGGUAUCUUUGGGCCCGGCUCUUGUCUAUGUUCCUUGGAACAGGACGUCACAGAGGGUGAGAAUCCCGUGCGAUGAGAUGACCCGGGUCUGUGUAAAGUUCCUUCGACGAGUCGAGUUGUUUGGGAAUGCAGCUCUAAGUGGGUGGUAAAUUCCAUCUAAAGCUAAAUAUUGGCGAGAGACCGAUAGCGAACAAGUACAGUGAUGGAAAGAUGAAAAGAACUUUGAAAAGAGAGUGAAAAAGUACGUGAAAUUGUUGAAAGGGAAGGGCUUGAGAUCAGACUUGGUAUUUUGCAUGUUGCUCUCUCGGGGGCGGCCGCUGCGGUUUACCGGGCCAGCAUCGGUUUGGAGCGGCAGGAUAAUGGCGGAGGAAUGUGGCACGGCUUCUGCUGUGUGUUAUAGCCUCUGACGAUACUGCCAGCCUAGACCGAGGACUGCGGUUUUUACCUAGGAUGUUGGCAUAAUGAUCUUAAGUCGCCCGUCUU
This 588-nucleotide ribosomal RNA is filed under the name Candida albicans. RNAcentral describes it as "LSU rRNA". It matches the Rfam family "Eukaryotic large subunit ribosomal RNA", at positions 52 to 655 of the family's 3401-position model. The record is from RNAcentral. Lineage: Eukaryota; Fungi; Ascomycota; Pichiomycetes; Serinales; Debaryomycetaceae.